Zophobas morio is the source of this 745-nucleotide RNA transcript. It is a transcript of the gene named dynein axonemal assembly factor 10-like, with no coding region annotated. The record is from RefSeq and is a predicted model, not a curated record. The transcript is spliced from 7 exons. NCBI's taxonomy places the organism in Eukaryota, Metazoa, Arthropoda, Insecta, Coleoptera, Tenebrionidae.
UUUUUCUCUGGGAUGUUCGACAAUCUUUCCCUGUUAUAGGAUUCGGUGAACGCUCUGUGGAUUGUUGGUCCGUAGCUCUUGGUGGUUCCGCUAGCCAUUACGAGCGUCUCUUAUUUGCGGGUUACUCUGACGGGGUUAUAAGCGCGUAUGAUCUUCGCACUUCAAAGCUUUUCUUUGAAAGCACUCUUGAACAUGGGGUCACUAGUUUGUCUUUAAACGACCAGUACCAGUCAAAUUUUUAUUUACUGGCAUCCACUCUGACCGAUAUUCACCUAUACACUGCUGUUUCUAAUGGAAGCGCCGAUCCUCUUUCCCUCCACCGCUCAUUCAACUCUAUGCCCCGCAGCUUAACUAUAUGGAAAUCUGCUUUUCUUCCAGAAUCUCCUUAUUUUGCCGUCGUCGAUAGUCAGGCACGUGUGGGACUUUGGAAAAAAGACGACGAAGAGGUGUUAACAGGGUGUGUUUCUCUGGGUAGUUUGGUUGUGAAGAACUCACCUCUAUGUGCCUAUGACUGGAACUUUGACAAGAAAGGUUUAGCCGCCUGCACUUCUUUCGAUCAAUCCCUGCACGCUAUAUUUACGCCUUAUAUUCGGUAGUAGCCCUUUACUGUUGACCACCUAAAAAUUGAUCAACGAUGUUGCGAGAGUCCAGCGCCUUGCAGUCUUUAAUGUUAUAAAAGUACUUAAGGUGAAAAUGGGAGUUAAUUUGUCUUCAAGGUCGCAAAUUUUAUCCACUGUUACUAGAG